Brassica rapa (field mustard) is the source of this 1391-nucleotide long non-coding RNA. RefSeq lists it as uncharacterized. The record is from RefSeq and is a predicted model, not a curated record. NCBI's taxonomy places the organism in Eukaryota, Viridiplantae, Streptophyta, Magnoliopsida, Brassicales, Brassicaceae.
UUAUCCUUUCUCUGUUGAUUCAUGAACCUUAUUUUGACUUCGGUCGUCGCCGUCUUCAAGCCGCCGGUAACAGUGAUGAUGAUGAGCUGGAUCAUUAAAAGGACAUAUGAAAUCCAUGUUGGCCCCAUUCCCGCCGCUAUCAAACAUUAUAGCGUUGGCUAUGUCGAAGAAGAGGGGACCGUAGUCAACGGAAUGGCCAGUUGCAGCCGCAGAGCGAUUGGAGCGGUGGGGAUAACGGCAGAAGCGGUUGAGUAGAUAUGUCAAGUUUGUGAGCCACGGUCAGUGACUAGGAAAGUGUUAAUCUUUUCAUAAUAUAUAUAGUUUUAGAGAUAAAUGUUUCUUUUAAAAUAUAAGUUGUUUUCACAUUUAUAUAUAACUUUUUGUAUGAACAAUCAAAAUGUAUAUAAAUAUUUAUGAUCGGUUGAAUUAUACAUAAAAUAUCUAAAUAAUAGUUUGAAAAAGUUUUUUAUUUUUUAAUAUGUCUUUUAACCAAUACUACAUAUUUUUUUUAAUGAAAUAUAGGAAACAUGCAAUAUCUCCCAAAAAAACAUGCAAGAUUGAAAUGACGAAAGGGAAAUAAUUGAUUCGAAAUAGUUUAUGGUUUAGAACUUAGAAAACCAAAUUUGGUUAAAUGAAAUUUGGUUAUUGACAUUUGGUUUCGUCAUAGACAAACUCUGGAGAGACAUGAGGCACUGGAGGAGCCUCAGCUAUACCUGAAACUGCUGAUCUGAUCGGAUGGGCUAUGAGUUCUUUGACUCUCAAGGGUAAGCCAUUAGAUCAAGCGCCUCUUGCUUCUUCUUCUUCAGCACCAUCCUUAGCUUCUGCAGCCUCAAAUGCUACAAGCACAGGUACACACUUGAGAUCACUUUCCAUAAUUUUACUCUCAACCAUGAAAUUAUAAUCUUUGUCUUCUGGUCGUGGCAGAGCAGCCAAACCUGCAGCUCCCAGACUUGGUGCCCAACGCAUUAACAGAACCUCAUCUGGAAUGUAAUGAACCCUAGACAAACAGGCAUACACUGUACAUUUUUGAGAAUACAAACUAAUUAUUUGAUUUGUGAUAUCAUUCAUUUAAACCCCCAAAAUGCCUCUAAUUAUAUUAUCUUGUUUUAGUGGACUCAUCUUCAUCUACAUGUUACUCGUUAAGCUACUCAAUGCAUUGAAGAUCUCAGAGGCCAUUAGAGAAGUUACUCAACAAUAAUGAUAAGGUUUUUAACCAUUUAAAUACUUCAAAAUUUUCGUUAAGCAAAACUGCUCUCAUUACAAAACUUAAUGCCAUUGUUUGUGGUGGGGAAACGGAUUUGAUCAAGUUUUUGUUGUACUUCUACUAUUGCCACCACUCAUCUUCUUUCUCUUCUUUGGGUGUUGCCCUCUCUGGCGUUCGUCUCUUUUCC